This 1288-nucleotide long non-coding RNA is filed under the name Triticum aestivum (bread wheat). RNAcentral describes it as "long non-coding RNA (TAES_LNC014559)". Lineage: Eukaryota; Viridiplantae; Streptophyta; Magnoliopsida; Poales; Poaceae. The record is from RNAcentral.
AAGGAGAAGAAGCAGAGAUCCAAACUGAGGAAAUGAAGGGAAAAAGCUGCAACAAAAACCUGUGAGUUUCCCCUUCUCAUAUCCCUCCCCUUCCCCUCUAUGCAUGUUGAACCUCCCUACCUGCUGUUCUCUCAACCUCCUUGUGGAGAUCUUGUUACCAGCAAAAUAAAAUCCCCAGGCACUGCAGCCAACAAGCCCCCCUUUACUAUGUGUUAUGUAUGAACUCCUGUACCAUCUUUUGCAUAGUAUGUGCAAUUCUGGGGGUGAAAAGGACAGAAGAUUGAUGGACCAUAAAACCAGCAAAAACAUGUGGAACUAGGUGAAAACCUUCAUGUGCCAAUUUUUGCAUACUAUUUGCAACUAGAGAAGCCUUGAUGUAUCAACUAUACUAGCAAACAUGUGCAACUGUGACGGCUGUGGUUUCUGAAGUUUCUGGUUUGUAGCACUGCACUAGGUGCUUGGUCAGCUCCGUAGGCAGCGUCCCAGCUACGUUUGAAAGACCCCCCCCGAAUAGCCUCUCACACAAAUUUGCUCCUUGCAUUGGAGUCAGUUCUUUAUUCAACUUGACAAAUCUCCCUGGGGACGCCCUUAUCCUACCAGCCUGUGACGGGCAGUCUGGAUUCUCUCCUUCAUUCAUCUCAACUUCUGCUUUGACAUCCUGGGUAUAAAAAAAAGAACAGUUGAGUGAAAACUUGUGCAAGUAUAUAACUAACCAUGCCAACUAAAAAGGCUGGUGAUUCCCCUUCAUUUGAUAUUUAAAAAAAUACAACUAGAAAAUGAGAUACUGUUGGAUAAUGUUGAUGAUGCCAACUAAUGAGAUAUUCUUGUGCGACUAGAAAUGUUGGUGAUGCCAACUAAUGAGACAUUCUUGUGCAACUAGAGAGGCUGAGGAUGUCAACUACUUGGAUAAUGUUGUCCAACUAGAAUUGCAGACGGUGUCAACUAAAGAUAUACUCUUCUGCAACUAGAAAAUCUGAGGGUGCCAAAUCAUUAGAUACUGUUGGACAAUCCCUCAAAUUUUUUAAGAUGGGAUUAAUCUGAACUCUUGUGCAACUAGAGAGGCUGAGGAUGUCAACUACUUCGAUAAUGUUGUCCAACUAGAAUUGCUGAGGGUGCCAACUAAAUAGACACUCUUCUGCAACUAGAAAACCUGAGGGUGCCAACUCGUUAGAUACUGUUGGGCAAUCCUCAAUUUUUUUAGAUGUGACUAAUCUGAGUUCUUGUGCAACUAGAGAGGCUGAGGAUGUCAACUACUUGGAUAAUGUUGUCCAACUAGAAUUGCUGAGGG